CCUACGGGUGGCAGCAGUGGGGAAUAUUGGACAAUGGGCGAAAGCCUGAUCCAGCCAUGCCGCGUGUGUGUAGAAGGCCUUCGGGUUGUAAAGCACUUUCAGUGGGGAAGAAAGCCUUGGGGCUAAUACCCUCGAGGAAGGACAUCACCCACAGAAGAAGCACCGGCUAACUCCGUGCCAGCAGCCGCGGUAAUACGGAGGGUGCGAGCGUUAAUCGGAAUUACUGGGCGUAAAGCGCGCGUAGGCGGUCUGAUAAGCCGGUUGUGAAAGCCCCGGGCUCAACCUGGGAACGGCAUCCGGAACUGUCAGGCUAGAGUGCAGGAGAGGAAGGUAGAAUUCCCGGUGUAGCGGUGAAAUGCGUAGAGAUCGGGAGGAAUACCAGUGGCGAAGGCGGCCUUCUGGACUGACACUGACGCUGAGGUGCGAAAGCGUGGGUAGCAAACAGGAUUAGAUACCCGAGUAGUC
This 465-nucleotide ribosomal RNA is filed under the name Vreelandella stevensii. RNAcentral describes it as "partial 16S ribosomal RNA". It matches the Rfam family "Bacterial small subunit ribosomal RNA", at positions 338 to 795 of the family's 1533-position model. The record is from RNAcentral. Lineage: Bacteria; Pseudomonadati; Pseudomonadota; Gammaproteobacteria; Oceanospirillales; Halomonadaceae.